CUGGCUCAGGAUGAACGCUGGCGGCGUGCCUAACACAUGCAAGUCGAGCGAGAUACUGUUGAACAGAGAUCGUCAACGGGAUACAGUGGAAAGCGGCGGACGGGUGAGUAACGCGUAGGCAACCUGCCCUUACACAGGGAUAGCCAUUGGAAACGAUGAUUAAAACCUGAUGACACCUAAAGAUGACAUCUUCCUUAGGUCAAAGAUUUAUCGGUAAGGGAUGGGCCUGCGUCUGAUUAGAUAGUUGGUGAGGUAACGGCCCACCAAGUCAACGAUCAGUAGCCGACCUGAGAGGGUGAUCGGCCACAUUGGAACUGAGACACGGUCCAAACUCCUACGGGAGGCAGCAGUGGGGAAUAUUGCACAAUGGGGGGAAAAACCCCCUGAUGCAGCAACGCCGCGUGAAGGAAGAAGGUCUUCGGAUCGUAAACUUCUGUCCUAGAGGAAGAUAAUGACGGUACUCUUGGAGGAAGCCCCGGCUAACUACGUGCCAGCCGCCGC
Molecule: ribosomal RNA, 501 nt
Filed under: uncultured bacterium
Lineage: Bacteria
Description: bacterial SSU rRNA
Rfam family: Bacterial small subunit ribosomal RNA
Source: RNAcentral